Molecule: vault RNA, 88 nt
Organism: Gadus morhua (Atlantic cod)
Lineage: Eukaryota; Metazoa; Chordata; Actinopteri; Gadiformes; Gadidae
Gene: Vault
Rfam family: Vault RNA
About the family: This family of RNAs are found as part of the enigmatic vault ribonucleoprotein complex. The complex consists of a major vault protein (MVP), two minor vault proteins (VPARP and TEP1), and several small untranslated RNA molecules.
Source: Ensembl
GCGCUGGUGUAGCUCAGUGGUUACUUCCUACAACAAAUCCUACUGGGUUUCCUGUAUCAUCGAACCACGGGUGCUGUCCAGUGUUAUC